This 321-nucleotide ribosomal RNA is filed under the name Triticum aestivum (bread wheat). RNAcentral describes it as "partial small subunit ribosomal RNA". The record is from RNAcentral. Lineage: Eukaryota; Viridiplantae; Streptophyta; Magnoliopsida; Poales; Poaceae.
AUGGCUCCCUCCAAGGGGCUCCUCAAGGCCUUCCCCAAUUCUGCACUCCUUGGCCGCCUCGUCGCCGCGCUCUUCCUCACCAUCGUCCUUGUCGCCAUGGCCAACCCCCUGUUCCCGCUCACCGUCGACGUCCCCUUAGUAGUGCUCCACGUCUGCAUCUGUGACGACGUGGAUCCUGCAUCCGACAAGGAAGGAGGAGACGAGGACAAGAAGGCCAAAGGGGACGUGGUGGAGAAGGAGGAGGAUGGCGAUGUUGUAUGCCAGCAAGAACAGAACAAAACCGUUCUCCAUGUCCUCCCGCCGGCGCCUCCUAGCCUCUGA